UGAGGAAUAUUGGUCAAUGGACGAGAGUCUGAACCAGCCAAGUAGCGUGCAGGAAGACGGCCCUAUGGGUUGUAAACUGCUUUUAUAAGGGAAUAAAGUGAGUCUCGUGAGACUUUUUGCAUGUACCUUAUGAAUAAGGACCGGCUAAUUCCGUGCCAGCAGCCGCGGUAAUACGGAAGGUCCGGGCGUUAUCCGGAUUUAUUGGGUUUAAAGGGAGCGUAGGCCGGAGAUUAAGCGUGUUGUGAAAUGUAGAUGCUCAACAUCUGAACUGCAGCGCGAACUGGUUUCCUUGAGUACGCACAAAGUGGGCGGAAUUCGUGGUGUAGCGGUGAAAUGCUUAGAUAUCACGAAGAACUCCGAUUGCGAAGGCAGCUCACUGGAGCGCAACUGACGCUGAAGCUCGAAAGUGCGGGUAUCGAACAGGAUUAGAUACCCUGGUAGUCCGCACGGUAAACGAUGGAUGCCCGCUGUUGGUCUGAAUAGGUCAGCGGCCAAGCGAAAGCAUUAAGCAUCCCACCUGGGGAGUACGCCGGCAACGGUGAAACUCAAAGGAAUUGACGGGGGCCCGCACAAGCGGAGGAACAUGUGGUUUAAUUCGAUGAUACGCGAGGAACCUUACCCGGGCUUGAAUUGCAGAGGAAGGAUUUGGAGACAAUGACGCCCUUCGGGGUCUCUGUGAAGGUGCUGCAUGGUUGUCGUCAGCUCGUGCCGUGAGGUGUCGGCUUAAGUGCCAUAACGAGCGCAACCCCUCUCCUUAGUUGCCAUCAGGUUAAGCUGGGCACUCUGGGGACACUGCCACCGUAAGGUGUGAGGAAGGUGGGGAUGACGUCAAAUCAGCACGGCCCUUACGUCCGGGGCUACACACGUGUUACAAUGGCAGGUACAGAGAGACGGUCCCUUGCAAAAUGGAUCAAAUCCUUAAAGCCUGUCUCAGUUCGGACUGGGGUCUGCAACCCGACCCCACGAAGCUGGAUUCGCUAGUAAUCGCGCAUCAGCCAUGGCGCGGUGAAUACGUUCCC
Molecule: ribosomal RNA, 1019 nt
Filed under: uncultured bacterium
Lineage: Bacteria
Description: bacterial SSU rRNA
Rfam family: Bacterial small subunit ribosomal RNA
Source: RNAcentral